Molecule: unclassified non-coding RNA, 287 nt
Filed under: Hypoxylon sp.
Lineage: Eukaryota; Fungi; Ascomycota; Sordariomycetes; Xylariales; Hypoxylaceae
Description: partial contains 5.8S ribosomal RNA, internal transcribed spacer 2, and large subunit ribosomal RNA
Rfam family: 5.8S ribosomal RNA (bases 1-71)
Source: RNAcentral
GUGAAUCAUCGAAUCUUUGAACGCAUAUUGCGCCCAUUAGUAUUCUAGUGGGCAUGCCUAUUCGAGCGUCAUUUCGACCCCUAAGCCCCUGUUGCUUAGCGUUGGGAAUCUACGGCGUAGUUCCUUAAAGUUAGUGGCGGAGUUAGGGUACACUCUCAGCGUAGUAAUAUCUCUCGCUCGUGUGGUGGCCCUGGCUGCUAGCCGUUAAAACCCCUAUACUUUCUAGUGGUUGACCUCGGAUUAGGUAGGAAUACCCGCUGAACUUAAGCAUAUCAAUAAGCGGAGGA